Molecule: long non-coding RNA, 476 nt
Filed under: Citrus maxima (pomelo)
Lineage: Eukaryota; Viridiplantae; Streptophyta; Magnoliopsida; Sapindales; Rutaceae
Description: long non-coding RNA (CMAX_LNC001780)
Source: RNAcentral
AAAAGAAUAAAAGUAUAUAAGAAUAAAGCUAUCGAUAACUAGACUCAAAUGAACUCAUCUUCUUGAUUUUCAUUUGCUCAGUCUCAUAAAAGUAGUGAAUUCAACUCAGAGAAAUAUAAAUUAUCUUAUAGUGUAAACUUGAGGACAUGGACAUGAGCAUCGAAAUAUUUAGGGACAUGAAUAAAUCUGUUUGACGUUUAUAGUCGCACAAGAACUUGUUUGAUUAUAAGAGAAUGAACAACAGAGCAACCAUAAAGUGCAGGUGAAUAUUGUGAACUCCCCGAUGGACAAGAGCGGCACAUCUUAAAGUACCAGGAAAAUAAAAAUUAAUAGCAGGGAAUGAGUCCAACUAAUGAUAGCUUAUACCCCGUCCCACCUAUGAACCCUGACCUAAUUAGAACUUCAUUAUCCAUUAAAAUCCAUUUAAUCUUCUUAUUGAUGAUAAAACAUUGCUGUGAGUGAAAGUUGAUACCCAC